GUGAGGAAUAUUGGACAAUGGGCGCAAGCCUGAUCCAGCCAUGCCGCGUGCAGGAAGACGCAUCUAUGGUGUGUAAACUGCUUUUGUACGGGAAGAAACACUCCCUCGUGAGGGAGCUUGACGGUACCGUAAGAAUAAGGAUCGGCUAACUCCGUGCCAGCAGCCGCGGUAAUACGGAGGAUCCAAGCGUUAUCCGGAAUCAUUGGGUUUAAAGGGUCCGUAGGCGGUUUAAUAAGUCCGUGGUGAAAGCCCAUCGCUCAACGAUGGAACGGCCAUUGAUACUGUUAGACUUGAAUUACAAGGAAGUAACUAGAAUAUGUAGUGUAGCGGUGAAAUGCUUAGAUAUUACAUGGAAUACCAAUUGCGAAGGCAGGUUACUACUUGUGGAUUGACGCUGAUGGACGAAAGCGUGGGGAGCGAACAGGAUUAGAAACCCGGGUAGUCC
This 445-nucleotide ribosomal RNA is filed under the name uncultured bacterium. RNAcentral's name for it is "partial 16S ribosomal RNA". It matches the Rfam family "Bacterial small subunit ribosomal RNA", at positions 354 to 796 of the family's 1533-position model. The record is from RNAcentral.